Molecule: long non-coding RNA, 203 nt
Filed under: Mytilus galloprovincialis (Mediterranean mussel)
Lineage: Eukaryota; Metazoa; Mollusca; Bivalvia; Mytilida; Mytilidae
Source: RNAcentral
GAUUAUACUAAUCGUUCCUUUAAAGUGGUACUACUGUAAGCACCUUGACUUAAAUUGAUUUGACUCGUUAAAUGUUCAUAUAAUUAUUACAAAAUAUUUUCUUUGACCCUUGAUAAAGGUAUAAAAAUUCAAGGAAAUUUAAAUCACGGGCUUUAUCGGAAUAAAAUCAUGGAUAUAUGUCAGUUUGACAAACACAAAUAAAG